AUUGAACGCUGGCGGCAGGCCUAACACAUGCAAGUCGAGCGAGCGGCGGACGGGUGAGUAAUGUAUGGGGAUCUGCCUGAUGGCGGGGGAUAACUACUGGAAACGGUAGCUAAUACCGCAUACCAUCAGAUGAACCCAUAUGGGAUUAGCUAGUAGGUGGGGUAAUGGCUCACCUAGGCGACGAUCCCUAGCUGGUCUGAGAGGAUGACCAGCCACACUGGAACUGAGACACGGUCCAGACUCCUACGGGAGGCAGCAGUGGGGAAUAUUGCACAAUGGGCGCAAGCCUGAUGCAGCCAUGCCGCGUGUAUGAAGAAGGCCUUCGGGUUGUAAAGUACUUUCAGCGAGGAGGCGUUACUCGCAGAAGAAGCACCGGCUAACUCCGUGCCAGCAGCCGCGGUAAUAC
RNAcentral lists this ribosomal RNA (406 nucleotides) under uncultured bacterium. RNAcentral describes it as "partial 16S ribosomal RNA". It matches the Rfam family "Bacterial small subunit ribosomal RNA", at positions 30 to 526 of the family's 1533-position model. The record is from RNAcentral.